RNAcentral lists this long non-coding RNA (483 nucleotides) under Bos taurus (domestic cattle). RNAcentral describes it as "long non-coding RNA NONBTAT013714". The record is from RNAcentral. Lineage: Eukaryota; Metazoa; Chordata; Mammalia; Artiodactyla; Bovidae.
UUUUUUUUGGCCAAAUCUGUAUUUAAUUUUUUACAAAGAAUAUAUAGCAUUUGUCUAUUUUUUUAAAUACAUAAUAAAAACUUGGGUUUUUAAAAACCCAAAUAUUUGUUUUAUAAUUUUUAAAAGGUCAUUUCCAUUUAAAUUUUUUUAAAAAGAAUGAAAGAAACUAGGGUUUAAAAAAUUUUAUAAUGACUUAACACAAUAGUUUUUUGGUUUUUCUUUUUUUUCUUUUUGCUUCCAAAUCUUUUUGUGAUGGAAUCCCUACAUGGCUCCUCCAGUUACCAAGUGGCACUUCUGUGACUAAAACAAGGUGUAGGGGCCUCCCCCACCAGCCCCCCAUCCUCCACCUCAGGUAAUCAUUAGGUACUUUGUAAGACCCUUGGGGGUCUUGUUGGGACCAGCAUGAAAGCUAGAACCAGUGUGAAACCACUGUUGUAGAUUAUUUCAUGGUAUAAAAAAAACAUUAAUGUUUUACCUUAAAAC